GAUUAAGUUAUUAAGGGCGCACGGUGGAUGCCUUGGCACUAGAAGCCGAUGAAGGACGUUACUAACGACGAUAUGCUUUGGGGAGCUGUAAGUAAGCUUUGAUCCAGAGAUUUCCGAAUGGGGAAACCCAGCAUGAGUUAUGUCAUGUUAUCGAUAUGUGAAUACAUAGCAUAUCAGAAGGCACACCCGGAGAACUGAAACAUCUUAGUACCCGGAGGAAGAGAAAGAAAAUUCGAUUCCCUUAGUAGCGGCGAGCGAAACGGGAAGAGCCCAAACCAACAAGCUUGCUUGUUGGGGUUGUAGGACACUCUAUACGGAGUUACAAAGGACGACAUUAGACGAAUCAUCUGGAAAGAUGAAUCAAAGAAGGUAAUAAUCCUGUAGUCGAAAAUGUUGUCUCUCUUGAGUGGAUCCUGAGUACGACGGAGCACGUGAAAUUCCGUCGGAAUCUGGGAGGACCAUCUCCUAAGGCUAAAUACUCUCUAGUGACCGAUAGUGAACCAGUACCGUGAGGGAAAGGUGAAAAGCACCCCGGAAGGGGAGUGAAAUAGAACCUGAAACCGUGUGCUUACAAGUAGUCAGAGCCCGUUAAUGGGUGAUGGCGUGCCUUUUGUAGAAUGAACCGGCGAGUUACGAUUUGAUGCAAGGUUAAGCAGUAAAUGUGGAGCCGUAGCGAAAGCGAGUCUGAAUAGGGCGUUUAGUAUUUGGUCGUAGACCCGAAACCAGGUGAUCUACCCUUGGUCAGGUUGAAGUUCAGGUAACACUGAAUGGAGGACCGAACCGACUUACGUUGAAAAGUGAGCGGAUGAACUGAGGGUAGCGGAGAAAUUCCAAUCGAACCUGGAGAUAGCUGGUUCUCUCCGAAAUAGCUUUAGGGCUAGCCUCAAGUGAUGAUUAUUGGAGGUAGAGCACUGUUUGGACGAGGGGCCCCUCUCGGGUUACCGAAUUCAGACAAACUCCGAAUGCCAAUUAAUUUAACUUGGGAGUCAGAACAUGGGUGAUAAGGUCCGUGUUCGAAAGGGAAACAGCCCAGACCACCAGCUAAGGUCCCAAAAUAUAUGUUAAGUGGAAAAGGAUGUGGCGUUGCCCAGACAACUAGGAUGUUGGCUUAGAAGCAGCCAUCAUUUAAAGAGUGCGUAAUAGCUCACUAGUCGAGUGACACUGCGCCGAAAAUGUACCGGGGCUAAACAUAUUACCGAAGCUGUGGAUUGUCCUUUGGACAAUGGUAGGAGAGCGUUCUAAGGGCGUUGAAGCAUGAUCGUAAGGACAUGUGGAGCGCUUAGAAGUGAGAAUGCCGGUGUGAGUAGCGAAAGACGGGUGAGAAUCCCGUCCACCGAUUGACUAAGGUUUCCAGAGGAAGGCUCGUCCGCUCUGGGUUAGUCGGGUCCUAAGCUGAGGCCGACAGGCGUAGGCGAUGGAUAACAGGUUGAUAUUCCUGUACCACCUAUAAUCCUUUUAAUCGAUGGGGGGACGCAGUAGGAUAGGCGAAGCGUGCGAUUGGAUUGCACGUCUAAGCAGUAAGGCUGAGUAUUAGGCAAAUCCGGUACUCGUUAAGGCUGAGCUGUGAUGGGGAGAAGACAUUGUGUCUUCGAGUCGUUGAUUUCACACUGCCGAGAAAAGCCUCUAGAUAGAAAAUAGGUGCCCGUACCGCAAACCGACACAGGUAGUCAAGAUGAGAAUUCUAAGGUGAGCGAGCGAACUCUCGUUAAGGAACUCGGCAAAAUGACCCCGUAACUUCGGGAGAAGGGGUGCUCUUUAGGGUUAACGCCCAGAAGAGCCGCAGUGAAUAGGCCCAAGCGACUGUUUAUCAAAAACACAGGUCUCUGCUAAACCGUAAGGUGAUGUAUAGGGGCUGACGCCUGCCCGGUGCUGGAAGGUUAAGAGGAGUGGUUAGCUUCUGCGAAGCUACGAAUCGAAGCCCCAGUAAACGGCGGCCGUAACUAUAACGGUCCUAAGGUAGCGAAAUUCCUUGUCGGGUAAGUUCCGACCCGCACGAAAGGCGUAACGAUUUGGGCACUGUCUCAACGAGAGACUCGGUGAAAUCAUAGUACCUGUGAAGAUGCAGGUUACCCGCGACAGGACGGAAAGACCCCGUGGAGCUUUACUGUAGCCUGAUAUUGAAAUUCGGCACAGCUUGUACAGGAUAGGUAGGAGCCUUUGAAACGUGAGCGCUAGCUUACGUGGAGGCGCUGGUGGGAUACUACCCUAGCUGUGUUGGCUUUCUAACCCGCACCACUUAUCGUGGUGGGAGACAGUGUCAGGCGGGCAGUUUGACUGGGGCGGUCGCCUCCUAAAAGGUAACGGAGGCGCUCAAAGGUUCCCUCAGAAUGGUUGGAAAUCAUUCAUAGAGUGUAAAGGCAUAAGGGAGCUUGACUGCGAGACCUACAAGUCGAGCAGGGUCGAAAGACGGACUUAGUGAUCCGGUGGUUCCGCAUGGAAGGGCCAUCGCUCAACGGAUAAAAGCUACCCCGGGGAUAACAGGCUUAUCUCCCCCAAGAGUUCACAUCGACGGGGAGGUUUGGCACCUCGAUGUCGGCUCAUCGCAUCCUGGGGCUGUAGUCGGUCCCAAGGGUUGGGCUGUUCGCCCAUUAAAGCGGUACGCGAGCUGGGUUCAGAACGUCGUGAGACAGUUCGGUCCCUAUCCGUCGUGGGCGUAGGAAAUUUGAGAGGAGCUGUCCUUAGUACGAGAGGACCGGGAUGGACAUACCUCUGGUGUACCAGUUGUCGUGCCAACGGCAUAGCUGGGUAGCUAUGUGUGGACGGGAUAAGUGCUGAAAGCAUCUAAGCAUGAAGCCCCCCUCAAGAUGAGAUUUCCCAACUUCGGUUAUAAGAUCCCUCAAAGAUGAUGAGGUUAAUAGGUUCGAGGUGGAAGCAUGGUGACAUGUGGAGCUGACGAAUACUAAUCGAUCGAAGACUUAAUCAA
This 2923-nucleotide ribosomal RNA is filed under the name Staphylococcus aureus. RNAcentral describes it as "23S ribosomal RNA". It matches the Rfam family "Bacterial large subunit ribosomal RNA". The record is from RNAcentral. Lineage: Bacteria; Bacillati; Bacillota; Bacilli; Caryophanales; Staphylococcaceae.